This 512-nucleotide ribosomal RNA is filed under the name uncultured bacterium. RNAcentral describes it as "partial 16S ribosomal RNA". It matches the Rfam family "Bacterial small subunit ribosomal RNA", at positions 28 to 507 of the family's 1533-position model. The record is from RNAcentral.
GACGAACGCUGGCGGCGUGCCUAAUACAUGCAAGUCGAGCGAGCGGAACCAACAGAUUUACUUCGGUAAUGACGUUGGGAAAGCGAGCGGCGGAUGGGUGAGUAACACGUGGGGAACCUGCCCCUAAGUCUGGGAUACCAUUUGGAAACAGGUGCUAAUACCGGAUAAGAAAGCAGAUCGCAUGAUCAGCUUUUAAAAGGCGGCGUAAGCUGUCGCUAAGGGAUGGCCCCGCGGUGCAUUAGCUAGUUGGUAAGGUAACGGCUUACCAAGGCAACGAUGCAUAGCCGAGUUGAGAGACUGAUCGGCCACAUUGGGACUGAGACACGGCCCAAACUCCUGCGGGAGGCAGCAGUAGGGAAUCUUCCACAAUGGACGCAAGUCUGAUGGAGCAACGCCGCGUGAGUGAAGAAGGUUUUCGGAUCGUAAAGCUCUGUUGUUGGUGAAGAAGGAUAGAGGUAGUAACUGGCCUUUAUUUGACGGUAAUCAACCAGAAAGACACGGCUAACUACGUG